UAUUUUUGAAAUUGUUUCAUUAAUAUCCGAAAUAGUUCCGAGUGGUUCCGGAAGCGUUUCAGGGUCACCGGUAGGGUUUUGGUGAAUAUUUUGUAAUACAGGGUAUUGCCGAUUAAUACAGGGUAUUGGCACCGCGGUGGUCCCAGGCCCUCAGCUAAGGUCUGCAUCUGGGAUCCCACUGGUUCGAGGCCCCUUCCAUAUCCCUUAGUCUCCUGCCAGGCUCUCCCCAUCCCAUUUCCGAAGAUACAAGAGAUCUUAUUUAUACGCAGAUCUGGCGCUUCAGUUUUGGUUUCAAGGAAACUGAAGCAGGCAGUCGUGGAACCGUUGCAUGCUCUAUCUUCCAUGGAUUGGUGUCGAUUCUCUUCGCUCGAGUCGGGGAAUGUAUCAUUCCCCAUCUUCUGCUCUGGCUUGAGUGGAAUCUCAUCCGAAAUCCUGUGUGUGACCAGAGGCGGCCAUCCCUCUCAACCUCCUUCACCAGAGGCAUACAUCGUGGUCUUUGGAUCCAGAUCUUCGCCAAGCAAGUCUUCGUUGUUGGUUCAUAUUCCAGAGAGGCUAUCAGACGAAGUUGUCCUUGUCCUCUUUUCGGCGGGCGCCCAUCAUCUUCAUCACCGACGUUCAGCUAUGGGGCCCAUAUGAUUGCGGCCUCUCCCUGCGUGGCUGACUGGCACACGUUAUCUGGUGCGUUGUUGUAAUUUGCCCCCUGGUGUGUAUGUUAUUUACUUCUUGUAAAUAAAUAAUAAUGGAAGGUCUUUUAUUUCCAAAAAAUCCCAUCGCUUA
This is a non-coding RNA of Aegilops tauschii subsp. strangulata, 777 nucleotides long. Lineage: Eukaryota; Viridiplantae; Streptophyta; Magnoliopsida; Poales; Poaceae. The record is from RefSeq and is a predicted model, not a curated record.